UACGUAGGGGGCUAGCGUUGUCCGGAUUUAUUGGGCGUAAAGAGCGUGUAGGCGGCCAGGUAGGUCUGCUGUGAAAACUCGAGGCUCAACCUCGAGACGUCGGCGGAAACCAUCUGGCUAGAGUCCGGAAGAGGAGAGUGGAAUUCCUGGUGUAGCGGUGAAAUGCGCAGAUAUCUGGAGGAAUACCGGUGGCGAAGGCGGCAUCCUGGACCGGCAUUGACGCUGAAAAGCGAAAGCUAGGGGAGCAAACGGG
This 253-nucleotide ribosomal RNA is filed under the name uncultured bacterium. Its description in RNAcentral is "partial 16S ribosomal RNA". It matches the Rfam family "Bacterial small subunit ribosomal RNA", at positions 524 to 776 of the family's 1533-position model. The record is from RNAcentral.